GGCAUGCUGUUGGAGGGGCACUUGCAGGCCUAUAAAGCCUACAAUCCAGUAAUGGUUUAAUUUACAACAGGACAGGUGUCGUUUUUUAGAGGAGAUUUACCAGUUUUAUUGCUGUGAAGCAAAAUAAAAAAUGUGACACUCCUAGAAAAGGGGGAAUUAGAAAAGAAAAGAAGAAAUUUAGGGAUUUGGGCCAAAUAGGGUCUGUUCCUCCUAGAAAGGUAAUUGUAAAAAGUAUGGGGGUUCAUUAAAACUCACAUUAUAGAAAGUAAUUUAUCCACAUUUUUUCUUUAUCUCUUUGAUCGU
Molecule: non-coding RNA, 303 nt
Organism: Pelobates cultripes (western spadefoot toad)
Lineage: Eukaryota; Metazoa; Chordata; Amphibia; Anura; Pelobatidae
Source: the annotation of a GenBank genome assembly